This 181-nucleotide unclassified non-coding RNA is filed under the name Glomeromycotina sp. RNAcentral's name for it is "partial contains small subunit ribosomal RNA, internal transcribed spacer 1, and 5.8S ribosomal RNA". The stretch from base 1 to 47 matches the Rfam family "Eukaryotic small subunit ribosomal RNA", at positions 1785 to 1831 of the family's 1831-position model. Lineage: Eukaryota; Fungi; Glomeromycota. The record is from RNAcentral.
AAAGUCGUAACAAGGUUUCCGUAGGUGAACCUGCGGAAGGAUCAUUACUGGUUUAGCGGACUGAGCGUUUAGCGAGGUUCUGCGAUCAAUUUAUAUUUAAAACCCACUCUUGAAUGUAUAAAAUUUUAUGUAUUAACGAUAAAAUAAAAGAUCACUUUCAACAACGGAUCUCUUGGCUCUC